RNAcentral lists this long non-coding RNA (634 nucleotides) under Strigops habroptila (Kakapo). Its description in RNAcentral is "lncRNA (ENSSHBG00005010701.1)". Lineage: Eukaryota; Metazoa; Chordata; Aves; Psittaciformes; Psittacidae. The record is from RNAcentral.
CUUGGCUCAAAAGAUGGUUCUCUCUUAAAUUUUAAUUCCUAAAACAUUACCCGUGUUUUGGUUUUUUAAGAAAGAUGCAUAAUGUUUUAUUGUUUGGGUUUUUUUAAGGUAUUAUUUUGACUCCCAUUAGAAAAAAACAAUCAAAUACUUCAAAUAGAGAUGGACAUAGUAAAAAUGCUGGGUUGACUGAUGACUGUAACUUGAUACCUACGUAUAAAAAGUCUUUCCAAAAAAGCCGAGAUCCUAACUUCAAGAGGCAGAGAAUCAAAAAAAUGUGCAACCAGGAAUGUCCGCGCUUAAAAGAAAAUCAUGUGUAUUCAACUGACAGAGAUGAGAAAGGACGGACAAAUGUUGACCUUUCAAAGAAGUACUACAGGUUACAGUUGCAAAGGCGAGAAAAAACCAAAGAUCAAUAACGCCUUUCAAGAGUAUUUUGGAUCUUGUUGCAGAACGUUGAAGAACAGCAUUUUUAACAGUGACGCACUGUCGCAGCAAUACAAGCCCUUGGAGAAUUUAGAUUGGCUUGGACUCCUGUUUUCAGUGAUAACAUUCAUGACAGAGUUGUUCCGCUUUGUAAAUUGAAGUAACAUGUCAUUGCCUACGUUUGUUAUUUUGGCGGGGGGUUUUGCCUGCC